RNAcentral lists this unclassified non-coding RNA (888 nucleotides) under Hevea brasiliensis (rubber tree). The record is from RNAcentral. Lineage: Eukaryota; Viridiplantae; Streptophyta; Magnoliopsida; Malpighiales; Euphorbiaceae.
GAGGUUGAUAAGGUGAUCCGUGUUCCCUCAAUGCAGAGGCAAAGCAGCAGUUUAGAAUGGAACUUGAAUGGAGGAUGCAAGGGUGAUUUAAAGUUAUGAAGAGGGCUUUUUGCCUAUAGAUCUUGUACAAAUGGCAUGAAGACAUGGAGGAAACUUGGUUUUAAUACAUAAAGGAAUUUGGGGGUGGUGAUAUUCCUCACAGGCUGUCGCAACUCUCAAAUUACAUGGGUAUAGGACUAUGUCUACCGUAUUGGCCAUUAACAGAAGAAUAAGUAUAGGGAAAAGAAGGGUGGGGGGUUGUGAGGAGGAGGGUGAGAGAAUCCUGUUAUGGAAUGAUAAAGGCAGAGGAGAAAUGAAAUCCUCGAACUUCCCCAUUACUCUCUAAAGUUGUAAAUGUUGUGGACCUUCUUUUAAGUAUUUAUUUGGGAUAGCAGCAGACUCAGCAGUGAACCCAUUAGUAUACUAACAAGGAUUGUAUGUCAUUCUUGUUUGCCACUUUUCUUGUAUCAUUCUCUGUUUAGUUUAUUUUGUACUUUUCUUUGUAAAAAGCACUGUCAGCCCAUUUAGAAACAUUAACUGUUGACAACCAAAGGCAGUCAUGGUCCUUAUGGCAAUCUUGUUCUAGUAUUAUCUCACCUUGAUAAGAUUUUGAAUUGGAAACUUAGAAGCAGAUGAUCUGCCAAAAAUCCAAUUAAGGCCAUCAGAGCAAGUCUUUGAUUCCUCUUCUUGUUUUGCACUUUGCUUGAAGAUUUUUUCUAUUUGAGCAUAAUUUAUGAAAUUGAUUAUUAUGACGCAUUGAACUCUUUUUUUUUAAUUAUUAUUUUUUAAUAAUUUCACGACAUCCUCAUGCGUUGGCAUGUUUAGAUGCUUUCUUUUUUUGAAUAUUUC